This 200-nucleotide unclassified non-coding RNA is filed under the name Entoloma infula. Its description in RNAcentral is "partial internal transcribed spacer 2". Lineage: Eukaryota; Fungi; Basidiomycota; Agaricomycetes; Agaricales; Entolomataceae. The record is from RNAcentral.
AAUUCUCAACCUUUCUAGCUUUUGCAGCUGGUCAGGCUUGGAUUUUGGAGGUUGCUGGCUCAUCAUGAAUCAGCUCUUCUUAAAUAUAUUAGCAAAGACCUUUGCUGACCAUCUUUGGUAUGAUAAUUAUCUAUAUCAUUGAUAACCAGCUUCCUUUAUGGAGAGGUCUUGCUUCUAAUAGUCGUUUGACAAUUUGACAA